Molecule: long non-coding RNA, 1710 nt
Filed under: Fragaria vesca (wild strawberry)
Lineage: Eukaryota; Viridiplantae; Streptophyta; Magnoliopsida; Rosales; Rosaceae
Description: long non-coding RNA (FVES_LNC000520)
Source: RNAcentral
GUAGUAGUUUUUGUUGAUGGUGGUAGAAGCUUUUGUUACUUGCGGUAGCGGUAGUAGUUUUUGUUGCUGAUGACAAUAUCUUUUGUGACUUCGUCAGAGGUCAUUGGAAAUCUCACUGUAGUAACUUUUGUGGCUGGGGGUAGUAGCUUUUAUAGUUGGUGAUAGUAGCUUUUUUUGUUGGUGACAGUAACUUUUGUUCUGCUUGGUAGUAGUUUUUGUUGCUGAUGACAAUAUCUUUUGUGACUUCGUCAGAGGUCAUUGGAAAUCUCACUGUAGUAACUUUUGUGGCUGGGGGUAGUAGCUUUUAUAGUUGGUGAUAGUAGCUUUUUUUGUUGGUGACAGUAACUUUUGUUCUGCUUGGUAGUAGUUUUUCAUAUGCUCGGUAGUAUCUUUUAUAAGUGGUGAUAGUAGCUUUUGUUCUAUCUUGUAGUAGUUUUUCAUUUGCUCGGUAAUAUCUUUAAUAGCUGGUUAUAGUAGCUUUCCAUAUGCUCGGUAGUAUCUUUUAUAGCUGGUGACAAUAUCUUUUGUGACCUCGCCGGAGGUCGUCGAAAUCUCAAUAUAGUAGCUUUUGUAGCUGGUAGUAGUAGCUUUUGUUAUGUUCAGUAGUAUUUUUUGUUGCUGGCAAUAGUAUCUUUUGUGACCUCGCCGGAGGUUGCCGGAAAUCACACCAUAAUAGCUUUUAUAGCCGGUGGUAGUAGCUUUUAUAGCCUGUGGUAGUAGCUUUUGUUGCUGGUGACAGUAUCUUUUGCAAUCGUUAGUAACAUUGUCGGAGGUCGGCAGGAAACUUUGUCGGCGGUUAGCCGGAAACUUUGUCGGAGAUCGGCCGAAGACCCGCCGGAGGUUGGCCAGAGAUCUCGCUUGAGGUUGGCCGGAGAUGAUAGUAGGUGUUGACUUUUUACAUUAGUGGCAUUUUUGUAAAUAUAAAAAAGAAAAUCUUUUUUUUUGUUGGAUGGCAGUCUGUAAUUAUGUUGAACUUCAAUACCUAAUACAAAACCUUAUUUUGGCUUGGGUGGACUUAUGUGAGUAAACAUGUUGGGGUGGACCUAUGUGAGAAAAAAUGUAUCAAAAUGGACUUAUAUGUAAUUAGCUCUAAAUAUUAAUGGCGUCGUUAUAGUAAUACACAAAAGUUGACAAUAUAAGAAUAUGGAAAUCCAAACCCUUUCCUUAAUUCAUGUGGAAUGUAGGACUUUUUAAGGUAGAAUAUCAUAUCGUUUGAAAAAUGAUCUAAUAAGCCAAUUUCAAGUUAUUUUGCAAAGAGUGUAAAUAAAAAUUUACUUUGGAAAUGAAGAUCUGUUAGUUGUCUCAUUUCGUUACUUCUUCGUUCUUUUAUAUUUUUGUGUUUGAAAUGUAUAUAUAUUUCUAAAUAUUCUAAGUGUUGAGAAUAUUAAAAGAUAAGAUCAGCAAGAGUUAUCAUAUUUAUGACAUUUACGAACCAUGUCACUCUAGUAGCAUUAGCUAUGUUAAAUGUGGAUGUGCAUGGACAAAAAGAAAUUUUAUUAUAUAUUAUUGUUGUGGUAUUUCUUAAUACAUGAAGUGAUGCUAAAAGAAAACACGAUUACUAAGUUAGAAGACUGUCAUAUGUGACGAGAAAUUCAAACUUCAAAUGACAAAUAGACAACUAUUAAAUUAGACAACAGUACCAAACUGUUAAGAUGUAGAAAAAAUAGCCAAAAUACCCUCUAAAGUUGGCCAUAAUUGUCAUUUACACCC